GGAACUGAGAUAAUACCGGAUAUUAAGCUAUGCCUGCAAUGGUUUGCUUAAGAAACGUUUUUCGCCUAAGGAUAGAUCUGCGGCUGAUUAGGUCGUUGGUGGGGUAAAGGCCCACCAAGCCGAUGAUCGGUACGGGUUGUGAGAGCAAGAGCCCGGAGAUGGAACCUGAGACAAGGUUCCAGACCCUACGGGGUGCAGCAGGCGCGAAACCUCCACAAUGUACGAAAGUGCGAUGGGGGGAUCCCAAGUGCUAUUCUUAACAGAAUAGCUUUUCAUUAGUGUAAAAAGCUUUUAGAAUAAGAGCUGGGCAAGACCGGUGCCAGCCGCCGCGGUAAUACCGGCAGCUCAAGUGGUAGCUGUUUUUAUUGGGCCUAAAGCGUUCGUAGCCGGUUUAAUAAGUCUUUGGUGAAAGCUUGUAGCUUAACUAUAAGAAUUGCUGGAGAUACUAUUAGACUUGAAGUCGGGAGAGGUUAGAGGUACUACCGGGGUAGGGGUGAAAUCCUAUAAUCCUGGGAGGACCACCUGUGGCGAAGGCGUCUAACUAGAACGAUCUUGACGGUGAGUAACGAAAGCCAGGGGCGCGAACCGGAUUAGAUACCCGGGUAGUCCUAGCCGUAAACGAUGUGGACUUGGUGUUGGAAUGGCUUCGAGUUGUUCCAGUGCCGAAGGGAAGCUGUUAAGUCCACCGCCUGGGAAGUACGGUCGCAAGACUGAAGCUUAAAGGAAUUGGCGGGGGAGCACAAU
Molecule: ribosomal RNA, 744 nt
Filed under: uncultured archaeon
Lineage: Archaea
Description: bacterial SSU rRNA
Rfam family: Archaeal small subunit ribosomal RNA
Source: RNAcentral